GAUGAACGCUAGCGGCAGGCCUAACACAUGCAAGUCGAGGGGUAGCAGGAUUAAGCUUGCUUAAUUGCUGACGACCGGCGCACGGGUGCGUAACGCGUAUGCAACCUACCUUAUACUGGGGUAUAGCCCGGAGAAAUUCGGAUUAAUCCCCCAUAGUACUAAUUAAUCGCAUGGUUUAUUAGUUAAAGCAUUGCGGUAUAAGAUGGGCAUGCGUCCUAUUAGCUAGAAGGUGAGGUAACGGCUCACCAUGGCUACGAUAGGGAGGGGGCCUGAGAGGGUGGUCCCCCACACUGGUACUGAGACACGGACCAGACUCCUACGGGAGGCAGCAGUGAGGAAUAUUGGUCAAUGGGCGCAAGCCUGAACCAGCCAUGCCGCGUGCAGGAAGAAUGCCCUAUGGGUUGUAAACUGCUUUUAUUUGGGAAUAAACCUCUUUACGUGUAGAGAGCUGAAGGUACCAAAUGAAUAAGCACCGGCUAACUCCGUGCCAGCCGCCGCCGUAA
This 503-nucleotide ribosomal RNA is filed under the name uncultured bacterium. Its description in RNAcentral is "partial 16S ribosomal RNA". It matches the Rfam family "Bacterial small subunit ribosomal RNA", at positions 28 to 523 of the family's 1533-position model. The record is from RNAcentral.